This 69-nucleotide transfer RNA is filed under the name Ictidomys tridecemlineatus (thirteen-lined ground squirrel). Its description in RNAcentral is "Spermophilus tridecemlineatus (thirteen-lined ground squirrel) tRNA". It matches the Rfam family "tRNA". Rfam says of the family: Transfer RNA (tRNA) molecules are approximately 80 nucleotides in length. Their secondary structure includes four short double-helical elements and three loops (D, anti-codon, and T loops). The record is from Rfam by way of RNAcentral. Lineage: Eukaryota; Metazoa; Chordata; Mammalia; Rodentia; Sciuridae.
GGGGUUGUGGCUCAAUGGUAGAGCUCUUGCCUAGUGUGCGUGAGUCCCUGGGUUCAAUCCUCAGCACCA